GCUGGAGACACAGGCUCAGCUCUGAGGCCUCCCCUGCAACCACGUCACAGCUGAGCCUGUGCAUGGACACACCCUGUGUGUGGACCCACGCUGGGCGGUCGAUGCCAGGAUGGCCACUCUCUCACUGUCCUGUCAGGUUGGCAUCUGUGUUCACCAGCUGUCUGCGCUGGUUGGCAGACGCCCCUGGGAGGUCCUCCCCUGGAACACGUGGGCCCGUGGCUCACAGACCCACAACGGAGUGUCUGGCGGGCUGUGAGGUGGCAUCCUGCUCGGGUCCCGGCUCUCCUGGGUGAAGGCUCCUGCCUUGGGCUCCUCCCCUGCAGGUGGGGACAGUGGUAAUGGCACCUCCCACAGUCCCUGGGAGGUGAGUGAGGCCAUGUGCUUGGAGCUCCGAGGACACUAUGGGGUCCCUGGCCAGAGCAGCCCGCAGCUGACACAGAGGCCAGGGCUGGAUCAUCUCCUGAGAUCCAUUUAAUUGCUGGACACAGGGUGGACAUUAUCAUGUUGAAAAGUUUAAUUUCAUGCUAAGUCACAUGAAAAAUGUCUUCUGAGAACUCCUGUCUGAGGGGCUGCCCCAAGUGGCCAGCGUGGCUCAACAGUGUCCUGGGCUGUUUCCAGGAGCUGCUUGUCUUCAGCUUGUACCCAGUGGAUGGGCUGGGCUGCCGUCUCCCCAGCCAAUGUCCUCUGUGUCCCUGGGCCUCAGUAUCCUGCCAGAGGGUGACACUCAGACAAUAGGAGGAAGCUGCCCAGCGAGGAUUCAGGAAACCAAAUCAGCUGACUAGAGAGGGAGAAGCAGAGGAGGAGACGCAGAAAUGUGGACCAGAGACAGCUGGAGACCGGGGGGCACUGAGGCAUCAGGUGCUGGGAGACGUCAGGGCCAGAGGUCGACUAGGCCGCGUGCCAGAGCACCUCCAGGAAGGGAGACGGAGGUGGAGGGGAGGCCGAGGGGCGCGCUCAGCCACCCCUUCCUCGGGGCCCUGGGCUUCCAGCACAGGUGGGAAGAGGUUGCAGCGGGUUGUGAGAGCAGCACUGGGCAUUUGGAUUUCGCCACUCCAGGGGCAGGGGACCAUCGGCAUUGGAGCCCGGGUUUGGGAAGCAGGGAGCCGGAGGUCGUUCAUCCCUCGCCUUUGCCUCUGCCAGCUGCACUGUAGCCAGGGAGAGGUUCUCUGGUCCACCUGCCUGGACCCAGCCCCUCUGGGACAGUUUUACCUGCUGCAAGCUUCUCUACUGACGAGAAGCAUGUUCAGGAGGCGGUCAUACCUCCUGAAGGGGAGCUGGACGGAUGGGGACAUUUUAUACCUUUGCAUUUUCUGCAUAUUGGGCUGCGUGAGGAAGUUAUUGAUGGACACAGGGCAGUGCGACUUUAGGGAGCAGUGCCGUGCUGCAGCUUGCUCGUCUGCCCCGGGCCCACACGGAGCUGCCCCUCUGUGCUGGUUGCACACAGACCCAGGAGAGAGCAGCUGGGUUCUUCAGCACCCCCCACCUCCGGGCUGACCCUGUCCCUGCCACAGCUCCUCUAGCACUUGGUCCCUGGUUGCCUUUCGUGGGCAACCUGCAGCCCGGGUUCCAGAACCACAGGUAACACGCCCGUCUCCCCGGGCUGGUGGGGGGCUGCAGCCCUUCUUGCUCCACGGGUCUUUUUCCAAGUCACACAGAGCAGCAAGUGCUCCAGUCAGAAGCCCCCCGUGAGGACCAAGGUGGCCUGCUUCAGCUGAUGCCCUCCAGGCUUCCUGCUUACUCGACCCUUACUUGUACCUUCUCCAUUAUGUGAUGAUCCACGGGGCUUUUUAAAAAUCAGUUUCUCUUAAAUUCUCGCCCACUGCUCAAUGUGUUAAGAUCAUUAAUUCCCAAGAGCAGAGGUGAUACCUAUUCCACCUUUGCAUUCCCAGGACAAUCCUUGUAAAUAUUGCAUGCCAGAUUACCACUCCUGGACGUGGAGUGGCUGUCACAGAUGUGGAAUGGUAUACGCACUGAGGCCACAGGACACCUUGGUGGAGCACUCCGCUGCCACCUGAAGACAGACCGCUGGUUCCUCCAGGGUAGCUGGGGGAAUAGCCUCUAUUGCCCCACCUGUGAGAUGAAGGGCAGUCUUGGUGGCCUGUGGGGGCCCCUCCACUGCUAAUUACCCAGUUACUGGCAUUCUGGGUCAGUAUUAUUUUUUUUCUCAUUUUUUAAUUUGUUAGGAAAAAAAAAAAUGAGUGACUGGGAAAGGUUGGCUUGCAGCCUGAUGCAGUAACUGGCUGAUCUUGCCCUCUCCAGGCCAAAGCCUGCAGCCCUGGAGAGAACCUGAGAAGACCCCGACUCAGACGGGGGACAGCGGAUAGCCCAGGACGUGGUCUGAGGAGAAGGAAGGAGGGCCAUGCUGGGGCUGUUCCUGCUCUGUGAGAAUUCAGCUCCCUCCCCGGGGGAGGCACCAGGCAGAAGAGGGGUCUUGCCAGGUUGAGAAGACAGAGGCGGACCCUGGCUGAGCUGGGUGCCUGGACUUUGCAGAGAAGAGAGUGGGGAGUCAUGUAGAAAGAACUCCAGGAAUCCACACAAGCACAGGACGGAAUCCCACCACUUAGGCGAAGCUGUAAACUGAAACUUUCCAGAACUUGCAAACACACUAGAUUCCUGUCAAGCCCAAGAAAAGAGACACAAGAAAAAAAUGGGAGGAUUAAGUAUGGAUCCUAAAAGGGGCAUCGCUUAGGAGAGGCGCUGCCUUAGCCUCGGAGUAGAUGCCACCCCAACCUGCCCUAGUGGCCCUAAAACCAGGUAUGGAAAGGGUGGAGUUACCCUGUUACUCAAAACAGUACAGCGUUCUCAAGAGGGGAAGAUGGUGCAGACAUUCAGCAGUCACCACCACGAUGUUCAGCAGCCCUCAAACCUCACCAGACACCGGAAGCCCAGGAGGUGACUCGAGGCCAGGAGCCAAGCUGGUCCACGUGUGCUCUCCGCAGAGAGAGGGUGGAGUCCGCCUUCGGAAUGUCCAAGCAGCAGUUUAGAUACAAUUAGGGAAGGAAGGAANUGGUGAAGACGGGGGGGGAAGACCCUGCGGGCUGCGCUGGGCGUGUGGGUAGCACAGCACCCUGCAGAGUGGGUGGGGGUCCUUGGAACCCAGGCGGGGGCCACCACCUGCCCAGCUGAGCCACUCCAGGCCCUGCUCACCACUGUGGAGGUGUGGAACCAGGCAGGAGUGGACACAACAGUGGCCUGUAUGCUGCCACACACACGCCACACCACGUGCAAGGCAGUGUCACCUAGACACACACCACACCCCACACACACACCAGGUACACACACCACACCACACAGUGUACACCAUGUCCCACACUCAGGUCACAUACACACACCACACCAGUCACAUCCUAGACACACACAACACACACACACCACACCAUGAACGAGGCAGUCUCAUCUAUGUAGACACCACACAUGCACCAGGUACACACACCACACACACAGUGUACACCGUGUCCCACACUCAGGUCACAUACACACACCACACCAGUCACGUCCUAGAUACACACACAUACCACACACACACCAUACCACGUGCGAGGCACUCUCACCUACAUACACACCACACACACCAGGUACACACACCACACCAUACACUAUAGACCAUGUCCCACACUCAGGUCACAUCCACACCCCACACCACGCAAACCACAUACAAAACCACACAACGUCCACCAUAUACCACACACCGUGUACCACGCAUGUGACUCACACACACACCACACGCCCAACACACAUACCUCACUCUACGCACACUUCACAUACAUACAGACACACCCCGCAGUAAUAAGGGACCCAGGAAUAAGCUCCGGGCAGCGGGGGUCAGGGCCGCAGAGACGCUGUCCAGGUGGCGUGUGGAGCCAGACAAGAACAAGCGUCGUCCUCCAAAACAGGGCUCUGGUUCCGGAAGAGCAAGGCCGCCCUGGCCCACGCAGUUCCGCGCCCUGUGCUCUAUAUUUCGGCACAGGAAAGCAUGUUGAUUUCCUUACCACCCUGGGGCUUGGAGCCCAGCCGUCUGCCCUUCUGGAUGUGGGGAAGGCUGCUGAACUCGGCUGGGCACUCUGGGGCUGACCAGCAGCUCGCCUCACUUGGUUUUGGUGCCGUGGACGGCCCCUGGGCCUCUGCUGUGCUUCCCCGUGGAGGACUGCAGCCCUCAGACCCUUCUCCAUGUGAGCCUGGGAGCAUUCGCCUCUCACAAGCUCCCCACUGUGAGGCUCAGCCAGACCCCACCUGGGGGCACAGGCCAUGAAUGACCUAGGUACACACCACACCAGUCAUGUCCUAGACACAGCCCUCCAGGACAUCCCCGGCAGACCCGGUCGUGGGACCCCAGGGAGCUUGCAGCACGCCCCGCACCUCCUCCCAGCUGGGCCACUACAGAUCACACCCAGAAGUUCAGAGGGUUGUGAAGGUUCACAGGAAUGGCCAGACCUGGGGAGAGAGGAGCAGGUGGGUGUGUUGGGAGCAACCCCAGGACCAGGCGGAAGCAGCCCCUGGCCCAGAGCGGACCCUCCUGGGGUCCAGGCAGAAGGGCUUCCCGGGAGCCAAUGCCGUGGCUCUGGCCCCCCACAGAGGUCCUGCUACAGAGGCUCUUCGCCCAGCAGCCCACCAUGCUGAAGAUUUCUUUCUGCCCCUAAGUUCUUUCUUUCCCUUUUUUUCCUUUGAGCUUAUAUUUAGGUGAUCAUUAUGUUUUCCUUUUAAAAUUUCUUAAUAUGAUAAAUUACAUAUAAACCAAC
This 4736-nucleotide long non-coding RNA is filed under the name Marmota monax (woodchuck). The record is from RNAcentral. Lineage: Eukaryota; Metazoa; Chordata; Mammalia; Rodentia; Sciuridae.